RNAcentral lists this ribosomal RNA (303 nucleotides) under uncultured bacterium. RNAcentral's name for it is "bacterial SSU rRNA". It matches the Rfam family "Bacterial small subunit ribosomal RNA", at positions 21 to 334 of the family's 1533-position model. The record is from RNAcentral.
GGCUCAGGACAACGCUGGCGGCGUGCUUAACACAUGCAAGUCGAACGGAAAGGCCCUGCUUGCAGGGUACUCGAGUGGCGAACGGGUGAGUAACACGUGGGUGAUCUGCCCUGCACUUCGGGAUAAGCCUGGGAAACUGGGUCUAAUACCGGAUAGGAGCCAUUUUUAGUGUGAUGGUUGGAAAGUUUUUCGGUGUAGGAUGAGCUCGCGGCCUAUCAGCUUGUUGGUGGGUAAUGCCUACAGCGGCGACGGUAGCCGGCCUGAGAGGGUGGACGGCCACAUUGGGACUGAGAUACGGCCCAG